Long non-coding RNA from Struthio camelus australis, 2106 nucleotides. The record is from Ensembl. NCBI's taxonomy places the organism in Eukaryota, Metazoa, Chordata, Aves, Struthioniformes, Struthionidae.
AUGCAUGCAUUUACAGCAAAAAUUAGGAGGGAUGAGCUACAGCGUACCCAGAAGCAACUGCGAGUCGCUAAGGGAAAAGAGACUUCACAUCUUUCCGCUUGGAAAGGGGGGGCCUGAAUUCUGAUCGCUGUUACCAUAUUACACAAUACUUUGUUCUGCUCGUAACCCUGUGCAUUUUGGCAGAAGCAAGGUACCAGUCAAUGCGAUUACGGGGAUCAGAAUCUAGUCCUGAAACCUAUAGAUGUGGGAAAGCACGCUGCAUUAGGAAAAAAUGAAAGCAUGUCAAUAAACAUAUGAUCAAAUAGUACUUGCAUUAAAAAGUGGUUCAAUAACAUCAAUAGCCAUUACAGGAGGAAGAAAAAGUAUUGUAGAAUUUUGAAAAACACUGUCUUUACUUUGUCUUUUGUUUUAUUUAUGACUAGUAUAUAAUGAAAAAUGAUACAGGUAAGAAACUGCUUGUGGGAAAUGGCAGGCCUAUUUGUAUAGAACAUCAGGGUAGAACAAUUCCUGACAUAAAAAUGAGUUUUCUUAAAAUACUAAGAGCAAACUAGAGAAUUCUCACUGUGACGAAAAGAAUACAUCCAAAAUACCUGCAAAGAGCUUUUCAUUGUUCUUAUACAGAUACAGGCACAGCAAGCCAGUAAUUAGAAUUAGAUCUAAACCUCCUGUUUAGGAUGCUGGUGCAUGCAGGUGUUGGUGGUAUGCAUGCAGGUGUUGUCACUUCACCUGCGAUUUUUGCUUACUCCCUGAGGUCCUGACUUUAUAAAUUGGCUCCAUUAGAAAAAAUGAAGUGUAUUUUAAUGUUAUCUUCUCCUUUGACCUUCUUCUGAUACUCUCCUAACUCUGUUUUUGUUGUUGCUGUUUUUUCUGGUUCCAUUGAUCAAACGGGUGUUGAUUCAAUGCACAAAAACAUUUUGCAGAAAGCACUACUGAGCUCCGCUCUUCAAGUCUUUUCUCCCUCCGAGAUCCAAACGUUUCAUUUUUGGUUUAAGUUUCCCAGGCACCAGAGGAAGCUGCUAAGAGCGUUGUCUUCUCCAGGCAGCAGACAGCGCACUCCAAACUUCAUCAAUGGUUUUCUCCAUGUAACAGCACGCUUUGUGAAGUGAAGAAAAAAGACGGAGAGAUCCACAACAGCCGCUAGUGAAAGCCGUCUAGUCAUCAGUGCGUUUGUAGCUGGUACCUUGUUACCUGGCUGACAGCUCAAGAGAGAGAGUGGCUUUUCUGAUGUGGCAAUGGUAAAUCUUCACAGAACCCCUUUCUUCUGACACUGAACAGGGAAUUCCACUGAAACCAGGAUUUUAACAUGUUUCCUAAAACUGCUGUCUCUGUACCCUUCCGACGGCACAGCUUCUGCUUAUAUCGCUUCACAAACUCCUACGGAGAAGCUUUCUGCUCCUAUUGAAGGGAACACGUAAACUCCGUUCUUGCAGAGUACCUACGGAUCCGGUGACCUGCCGCCGCCUUCUCCUCCUGUAUCGCAAACUCUAUGGAACUGAAUUACUGAAAACAGAAACUUUGUUUGCUAGAAGACACUUCUAAUUGGAGAAGUGUUUCUGUGCUUUAAAGUAAGCAAGUCUGGUAAAGGCGUGUUAUAAAAUCAAAUUAACUGUGGUAAAUUACAAAGAAAUCACCCUUAGAAUAUAUCACUGCAUCUUUCCCAUCUCCCAAGGUUUUUUGUCCUCCUCCUUCUUUACACGUCAGAUCAGAAACCGGGAGCUCAUCUGGUGUUGACAAAUGCAGGGUAUGUUAGGCUUUGACUUUAUAGGAGAAAAAUGGGUCACCAGCAUGUUAUUGGCAGCUCAAGUUUGGUGUCAUUUAGCCAGCUGAAGAGAAAAAAAUAGGCCAUUGAUUAGUCCAGCAACAGCCUAGGGCCUCUGUAUUUUAAUUACAUAUGUUCUCUGGACUUAAUUCAUCCCUGGUGAAUCAUCAUUGACUUAAAUGGAGCUUCAUAAUGGAGGAAUUUCCCCAAUACAUUUUGUUCUUUGUAUUAUUAAUACAUCUAAGUGUUGUGAAUAACUCUGUUUCCCAAAACAAACAUUCAGGCUUCUGUAAAAGCUGGUGCUUGGAGACUUUAAAGAACCCCGAAGACCAAAAGGUUUUGCAUCC